AGGCUGGGAUGGGUGCAGUGAGGCCAGGCAGGUCAGUUGAAAUGGCCGGUCCCGGAACACAGAGCCUGGCAGCCCAGCCGGGAGGGCUGUCCGCCUGAGGCUGGAUUUGCCAGGCUGUGGAGGGAGGGACAGGAAGAAGCAGGUCCCAUACGCCUUUCCCCAAGUUGGAGCUGGGCCUGGGGCCCCAGCCCAUGGCGCCCCGGGAGCUCCCCACCUGCUCCAUCUGCCUGGAGAGGUUGCGCGACCCCAUCUCGCUGGACUGUGGCCACGACUUCUGCAUACGGUGCUUCAGCACACACCGUGUCCCCGGCUGUGAGCCGCCCUGCUGUCCUGAGUGCCGGAAGAUAUGCAAGCAGAAGAGGGGCCUCCGGAGCCUGGGCGAGAAGAUGAAGCUCCUGCCGCAGCGGUCGCUGCCCCCUGCACUGCAGGAGUCUGGUGAGGGCGGCCGGCCGAGAGGAGGAGAGGCAUCCCUGCAGGGCUGCAGGUGGGGCGCCAAUGGCCUCGCCAGGGGCAUAUGGAUGUGGAGCCACCCCUUCUUGCUGGGGAA
This 547-nucleotide small RNA is filed under the name Pongo abelii (Sumatran orangutan). Its description in RNAcentral is "processed transcript". The record is from RNAcentral. Lineage: Eukaryota; Metazoa; Chordata; Mammalia; Primates; Hominidae.